UACGUAGGGACCAAGCGUUGUCCGGAAUUAUUGGGCGUAAAGAGCUCGUAGGCGGCUGUCCACGUCGGAUGUGAAAGCUCGGGGCUCAACCCUGAGAGGCCAUUCGAUACGGGACGGCUAGAGGUAGGUAGGGGAGAUUGGAAUUCCUGGUGUAGCGGUGAAAUGCGCAGAUAUCAGGAGGAACACCGGUGGCGAAGGCGGAUCUCUGGGCCUUACCUGACGCUGAGGAGCGAAAGCUGGGGGAGCAAACAGG
Molecule: ribosomal RNA, 253 nt
Filed under: uncultured bacterium
Lineage: Bacteria
Description: partial 16S ribosomal RNA
Rfam family: Bacterial small subunit ribosomal RNA
Source: RNAcentral